Long non-coding RNA from Tarenaya hassleriana, 1744 nucleotides. RefSeq lists it as uncharacterized. NCBI's taxonomy places the organism in Eukaryota, Viridiplantae, Streptophyta, Magnoliopsida, Brassicales, Cleomaceae. The record is from RefSeq and is a predicted model, not a curated record. The transcript is spliced from 2 exons.
ACUACAUCUACAUCGAAACUCACUUCUUGUAGUGCAAAAUUCCUCCUCCCCUCUCUCUCUAUCCUCCUCCUCCGUCGAAACUCCAUCGACUCCUCCGGCAAGUCAUCCGGCUUCUGCUGCGCGAGAUUCUUCUGUCGACUCCUCCGAUGAGUCCUCGUGCGAAACUCCUUCGACGGCCCAAAACUACUUCUCCUUCAUACACGAACGACUCCUUCGAGGAUUGCUCCUCGUUCCGCGACGAUUGCAUCUGAUUCUCGUUCGUCUGAUUCUAGUUGGUUUUCGGUGAUUGCUACUGGUUCUCAUUCGACACCACUAUAGAUGCAUUUCAAUUGGAAUCAGUAGAUUCAAAAACGCAACGAUCAAAAUCUUCAAAUCCCUAAAUCUGGAAAAUUUUGGAAUAUACUAACGAUGAGUUUUUUCGGAUUUGGUUUGAGUCAAAACGCUGCUCAUCAUCUUCGAUUCAAGAACAAUGAACUGACAACCGAGAUUCUACCAAUAUCCAACACUAUCAAGUAAUGGGUUCUUGUGUGGCUCCUUGUAUUGGCUGCUCGGCGAAGGAGAGUUUGCACCGUUGCUCAUGACUGAGUCCAUAGCGAAACUUCCUCCAAAUUCAUUACCGUAAUCUUGAUGAUUGAAGGAGAAAUCAAAAGGGUUUUGACGAUUUUGACUGUAGAUGUUUGUCUCUUCGUGGAGCUUUGUGUCUGUUGUCUUCAAUUUUGAUCAUGUACUUGAUGUUUGUGGGUUUGUUUUUUAUUAUGCAGGAGUGGAGGGUUUGUAGGCUCACUGGAGAAGCCCUUCAAGCUUAUAGCAAGACUCAGCUCCAUCCUGACCCUGCCAUUGCCGACCGAAGCCAAGCUCUGCUUCUUUCGUGUCCGUCGCCUGAGCCGUCCCCUCCACCGUCGACAUUCGCUUCUGAGGUUUGCGUUGCCUGAGCCGUCACUCUCUGCAUCUUCCUCAAGCUCGAAUCGAAUCCUCCCUGUCCGUCGCCUGAGCUGUCACUCUCUGCAUCUCUCGCCGCCGGUCACCUCGUUCUCUGAAUCUCUUGUCACCGUCUCGUCUCUCUCUACAUCUCUCGUCUCAUCGCCGGUCUCCUCUCCCUCUGCAUCUCUUCGCCGGCUCUCUGUGAGACUGUAAUAGUUUCCGUGUUCUCCUCGCUCUCUACUUAAGAUGUUCCUUCAGGUCUCCAUCCAACCAGGUAUUCACUCGGAAAAACUCCAGAAACUUUGUGAAUUCUCUGUUCAUUUAUGUUCCGUAUUUUGCAGAUCAAAAUUUUUGUUUUUUUCUCUGAUGUCAAGAGCAAAGGAAUCAGCUUCUCCUGACUUUGUUCAUUCAUCUGUGUAUUUUCUGAUAGUAUCAAGUUAGAAAAAGGUUUUUCGAGCUCCUCCUGAUUUUGUGCUCUCAUUUGUAUAUUUUCUGACGUAGAGUUUCUCCUGUAUUUUUUGACAGUUUCUCGGACCUGUGAUUUGUUACAAACGUAGUGUUGAUCGAGAAGUUUAUCGUUGUUGUAUUUUUGGUUCGUGUCGAUCUACGGCUUUCUUGAAUGGUUUCCGGAUUUUUCGUCCGAUGAUUGUGUGCUUUUAGUUGGGAAUGGGGGAUCUUCUCUCGUUUUGGUGGGGAAAGAAUGAAGGGGGAAACUUUUAGUGUUCAAGAUGUUUUGUGCGUUGUGAUUUUCUUUGGUUUUUUAUCAACAUUCGUUCGGUUGAAAAGUGUAGCGUUUGGGUUUGCAAACAUUUGCAUUCAUUUA